CUGGCUCAGGAUGAACGCUAGCUACAGGCUUAACACAUGCAAGUCGAGGGGCAGCAUGAAACUUAGCUUGCAAGUUUGAUGGCGACCGGCGCACGGGUGAGUAACACGUAUCCAACCUACCGUUUACUACGGGAUAGCCUUCUGAAAAGGAGAUUAAUACCGUAUGGUAUUCUAAAGUUUCAUGACAUUAGAAUUAAAGGUUUACCGGUAAUCGAUGGGGAUGCGUUCCAUUAGAUAGUAGGCGGGGUAACGGCCCACCUAGUCAGCGAUGGAUAGGGGUUCUGAGAGGAAGGUCCCCCACAUUGGAACUGAGACACGGUCCAAACUCCUACGGGAGGCAGCAGUGAGGAAUAUUGGUCAAUGGGCGAGAGCCUGAACCAGCCAAGUAAGCGUGAAGGAUGACUGCCCUAUGGGUUGUAAACUUCUUUUAUAAAGGAAUAAAGUGGUCCACGUGUGGAUUUUUGUAUGUACUUUAUGAAUAAGGAUCGGCUAACUCCGUGCCAGCAGCCGC
RNAcentral lists this ribosomal RNA (511 nucleotides) under uncultured bacterium. RNAcentral's name for it is "bacterial SSU rRNA". It matches the Rfam family "Bacterial small subunit ribosomal RNA", at positions 19 to 518 of the family's 1533-position model. The record is from RNAcentral.